GCUUGUCUCAAAGAUUAAGCCAUGCAUGUCUAAGUGUAAAUACGUCUACACUGUGAAACUGCGAAUGGCUCAUUAAAUCAGUUAUCGUUUAUUUGAUGAUCUCUUGUUACAUGGAUAACCGUAGUAAUUCUAGAGCUAAUACAUGCGUCAAGCCCCGACUUCGGAAGGGGUGUAUUUAUUAGAUUCAAAACCAACCGUGUAAAAAGCGUACCUUGGUGAUUCAUAAUAACUUGUCGAACCGCACGCCCUUGAGGCAGCGGUGAUUCAUUCAAAUUUCUGCCCUAUCAACUGUCGACUGUGAUAUAGACGCUCACAGUGGUUUUGACGGGUAACGGGGAAUCAGGGUUCGAUUCCGGAGAGGGAGCCUUAAAAACGGCUACCACAUCCAAGGAAGGCAGCAGG
Molecule: ribosomal RNA, 402 nt
Filed under: uncultured Cryptophyta
Lineage: Eukaryota; Cryptophyceae
Description: partial small subunit ribosomal RNA
Rfam family: Eukaryotic small subunit ribosomal RNA
Source: RNAcentral